UACGUAGGGUGCAAGCGUUGUCCGGAAUUAUUGGGCGUAAAGAGCUCGUAGGCGGUUUGUUGCGUCGGCUGUGAAAUCCCGAGGCUCAACCUCGGGUCUGCAGUCGAUACGAGCAAACUAGAGUGUUGCAGGGGAGACUGGAAUUCCUGGUGUAGCGGUGAAAUGCGCAGAUAUCAGGAGGAACACCAGUGGCGAAGGCGAGUCCCUGGACAACACCUGACACUGGAGGCACGAAAGCUAGGGGAGCAAACAGG
RNAcentral lists this ribosomal RNA (254 nucleotides) under uncultured bacterium. RNAcentral describes it as "partial 16S ribosomal RNA". It matches the Rfam family "Bacterial small subunit ribosomal RNA", at positions 524 to 776 of the family's 1533-position model. The record is from RNAcentral.